RNAcentral lists this long non-coding RNA (232 nucleotides) under Elaeis guineensis (African oil palm). Its description in RNAcentral is "long non-coding RNA (EGUI_LNC024002)". The record is from RNAcentral. Lineage: Eukaryota; Viridiplantae; Streptophyta; Magnoliopsida; Arecales; Arecaceae.
UUUCAAUAUUGCUUCUGUAGGGUUUCAGAACCCGCCCCCUGAUACGGCACAAUUUCUGUCUUUCAUCUGGGCAUCGACACCUGACCAAAUAAAGAAUAAACACCUGGUUUACAUACCAGCGGUAUCUAACCCCUCGUGCUUCACCAAUCAUCAAUCUAGCUACUAAUAUUGAUCCACCCAUUUUCACUUCUUUCUUGGAAACAACACUCCUACACUAUCUGCCAACACAAUC